UACGAAGGGGGCUAGCGUUGCUCGGAAUCACUGGGCGUAAAGGGUGCGUAGGCGGGGCUUUAAGUCAGGGGUGAAAUCCUGGAGCUCAACUCCAGAACUGCCUUUGAUACUGAGGAUCUUGAGUUCGGGAGAGGUGAGUGGAACUGCGAGUAUAGAGGUGAAAUUCGUAGAUAUUCGCAAGAACACCAGUGGCGAAGGCGGCUCACUGGCCCGAUACUGACGCUGAGGCACGAAAGCGUGGGGAGCAAACAGG
Molecule: ribosomal RNA, 253 nt
Filed under: uncultured bacterium
Lineage: Bacteria
Description: partial 16S ribosomal RNA
Rfam family: Bacterial small subunit ribosomal RNA
Source: RNAcentral